RNAcentral lists this ribosomal RNA (843 nucleotides) under uncultured bacterium. Its description in RNAcentral is "partial 16S ribosomal RNA". The stretch from base 1 to 348 matches the Rfam family "Bacterial small subunit ribosomal RNA", at positions 63 to 398 of the family's 1533-position model. The record is from RNAcentral.
CGAACGCGAAAGGGGCUUCGGCCCUGAGUAGAGUGGCGAACGGGUGAGUAACACGUGGGUGAUCUACCUCUGAGUGGGGGAUAACGUUCCGAAAGGAGCGCUAAUACCGCAUGACGUUCCGGGUUUGAAGACCUGGAAACCAAAGCCGGGGACCGCAAGGCCUGGCGCUUGGAGAGGAGCCCGCGCCUGAUUAGCUGGUUGGUGGGGUAGCGGCCCACCAAGGCGACGAUCACCAUCCGGCCUGAGAGGGCGGACGGUCACUCUGGGACUGACACACGGCCCAGACUCUUACGGUAGGCAUCACUGGGUAAUUGUUCCCAAUGGGCGAAAGCCUUACCACGCUACGCCUGGUGAAUGAUGAUCGGAUUUAGAUUGCCACCUCCUGUUCCUUUACACCAAUGGAUUCCGGACACGCUUGGGGCUCUGUACUUACCGCGGCUGCUGGCCAGAGUUAACGUGGCUUCCUCACUCCGUACCGUCACUGCUGCAACGUGUUGGGUUGGAUUCCAGUCCUCCCGAUAACAGGAGUUUACUAUCCGAAGACAUUCUCCUCCACGCGGCGUUGCGUCGACAGGCUUGCGACCAUUGCGAACAUUCCCCACUGCUGCCUCCCGUAGAUCUGGGCCGUGUCUCAAUCCCAGUGUGGCCGUCCGCCCUCUCAGGCCGGCUACUGAUCGUCGCCUUGGUGGGGGUUACCCCACCAACCAGCUAAUCAAGCGCGGGCUCCUCUCCAAGCGCCAGGUCUUGCGGUCCCCGGCUUUGGUUUCCAGGUCUUCAACCCGGACGUCAUGCGGUAUUAGCGCUCCUUUCGGAACGUUAUCCCCACUCAGAGGUAGAUCACCC